UGGAGCCAAUCUGUACCCCACGGUUCAGUAGCCUGGUUCUGAGAAACUUGACACGUUGUUGAUCACGGGAGAGUAAAUCACUGAGAGAAAUGGAAGAAUUGGGAGAUAGAGAGGAGCCAGGCCCAUGCACAUGAUACAAGUUGAGCUGUAUGCUAGAUUUAGAUUCUGCAAAAUGUUCAUUUAUUAUACAAAAGCCUGUUGAAAUAAAUAUUUCUGCUAACACAGAACUUUAAAGCUUGCAGAAAAGAGAAAAUUUUACAUGCCUUGAAGUUCAGCCAGUGAUGUUGCAAGGAGACAGAAAGCAAGAAACCAAGCCAGCUCCAUCUCUGUAGGGAUUUCUUUUCCUUUUUUCUUUUUUCUUUUUUUUCUUGCUUAUGGUCUGUGUAGAUUAUAUAAAGAAACCCAGAAGCUCAUAGAGAUGUUAAAUUGUGGAGGAGAAAUUAUUAUUUGGAAAAUGUCACAAUCUGCCAACCAACUGAGUCAUUGAAUAAGUUGAGGAGAUGGGUGGUGCAUUUAUAACUAUCAUAUAUGUGACAUGUUGGAUCUUUUUCCAUCAGAGAUUGUUUCCAAUAAUACUUACUUAUUUCCCUUAUUUUUCCAUUUUUCCAGAAUCAAAUUAACAAUACACAACCAAUAAUAGGAACUUCAGCUCAAUAGAAGGAGUGAUAAAGUGUGAAAUCUCAGGUUUGAACUCAAAUACUAAACUCAUAAAUAUCAUAUAUACCCAUUUUGAGCUUUACACAAGUGGCU
Molecule: long non-coding RNA, 750 nt
Filed under: Manihot esculenta (cassava)
Lineage: Eukaryota; Viridiplantae; Streptophyta; Magnoliopsida; Malpighiales; Euphorbiaceae
Description: long non-coding RNA (MESC_LNC005762)
Source: RNAcentral